Small nuclear RNA from Suncus etruscus (white-toothed pygmy shrew), 104 nucleotides. NCBI's taxonomy places the organism in Eukaryota, Metazoa, Chordata, Mammalia, Eulipotyphla, Soricidae. The record is from RefSeq and is a predicted model, not a curated record.
GUGAUUGCUUUGGCAGCACAUAUACUAACAUUGGAACAAUACAGAGAUUAACAUGGCCCCUGCGCAAGGAUGACACGCAAAUUUGUGAAGCGUUCCAUAUUAAA